This 77-nucleotide transfer RNA is filed under the name bacterium. RNAcentral's name for it is "tRNA-Arg". It matches the Rfam family "tRNA". From Rfam's summary of the family: Transfer RNA (tRNA) molecules are approximately 80 nucleotides in length. Their secondary structure includes four short double-helical elements and three loops (D, anti-codon, and T loops). The record is from RNAcentral.
GCGCCUGUAGCUCAGCUGGAUAGAGCGCCGGAUUCCGGUUCCGUAGGCCGGGGGUUCGAAUCCCUCCAGGCGCGCCA